UCCCUGGUGGUCCAGUGGUUAGGACUCUGCUCUUCCACUGCUGGGAGCCUGGGUUCGAUCCCUGGAGAGGGAA
RNAcentral lists this transfer RNA (73 nucleotides) under Bos taurus (domestic cattle). It matches the Rfam family "tRNA". Rfam says of the family: Transfer RNA (tRNA) molecules are approximately 80 nucleotides in length. Their secondary structure includes four short double-helical elements and three loops (D, anti-codon, and T loops). Further hydrogen bonds mediate the characteristic L-shaped molecular structure. tRNAs have two regions of fundamental functional importance: the anti-codon, which is responsible for specific mRNA codon recognition, and the 3' end, to which the tRNAs corresponding amino acid is attached (by aminoacyl-tRNA synthetases). tRNAs cope with the degeneracy of the genetic code in two manners: having more than one tRNA (with a specific anti-codon) for a particular amino acid; and 'wobble' base-pairing, i.e. permitting non-standard base-pairing at the 3rd anti-codon position. Lineage: Eukaryota; Metazoa; Chordata; Mammalia; Artiodactyla; Bovidae. RNAcentral also lists the same sequence under 3 other names. The record is from Rfam by way of RNAcentral.